UGGCACAUCAAACUACUUUACCACAUAUUUCCUCUUUAAAACCACUCAUAUUGUACAUGCUGUGAUAAGUUACCAUUUCGCCCAACUGUGCAAAGAGACGCAUCUGCUCUACUGACCAACAAGAUGGCAGAUAUCUAUGAGAAUAAUGAUUUUCAUCAUGUGGGGGAUCAGAAACAAUUUAAGGCUGGGAAAACACCAGAGCCAUCAGGGCAUCAGUGGUGUGAUGAAGAUGAUGAGAGUGAUGCAGACUAUGAAAACAUUGAACACACCCUAGAAAUGAAGGAGACCAGCCAAACCCCAGAGAGGAGAAGGCAGGACAACUCAGAGAAAGGAACAGAAGAGCUGAAAUCUAGCACAACUGCUGCUUUUUCCAUCAUUCUGCUGUAUGUCCUGCUGUUGAUGGUCACUCUGGGUUGGGUAGGCUUCAUCACAGUGGUCUUCAUAAAGUAUUCUGCACUGACAGAAGAGAUUCAGCACCUCCGAAUGAGUCACAUCACCUUGAAGGAGAACAGUAAGAUCAGGGUUACAAGCAUGAUUCCUGUCUGUAGGACCCAUUAUUUCUGUAAUUACAUUACAUUACAUUUUAUUAUCAAG
This 594-nucleotide long non-coding RNA is filed under the name Lepisosteus oculatus (spotted gar). Its description in RNAcentral is "lncRNA (ENSLOCG00000022915.1)". The record is from RNAcentral. Lineage: Eukaryota; Metazoa; Chordata; Actinopteri; Semionotiformes; Lepisosteidae.